Molecule: long non-coding RNA, 668 nt
Organism: Aedes aegypti (yellow fever mosquito)
Lineage: Eukaryota; Metazoa; Arthropoda; Insecta; Diptera; Culicidae
Exons: 2
Source: RefSeq, a predicted model, not a curated record
CGAAAGAGGGGACAGUCGCAAACGCUUUCCAAACAACAAACGCAAUUAAAAACGCAUAUUUUCGAACAAAUGGGCGAAACAAUGCCCAUACGUCGUGUUCGUCGCUGUCCAGCUCGCGAAUACCGAACGUGUGAUAUUGGAGAAGAUUAUUAUCGGUCAGCCGUGGCAUUCUUUCAGGUCCAUUAUAUCCUUUCAGCGGAAAAUAGCGCCGCCUCGGGGGCACCCACGGCUCGCUGACUGACUGAAUGGCUAGCUGGCUGCUGCUGCCGUUGGAGAAGUGAAUAAGGAGAAGAUGGGAUAUUGCGUUGGCUCGUUUUACUCCGGCAUUUUUAACCUGGUUCCCCUACGCAAUGGACGAAGGAUGGCUCCUGUUUGCGGUCAGCGAUGUGUGAAAUUAUGAAAUUUUAUUGCCAUUCCUUCCUGGAGGCUUGUAUCAGACGCGUGAUGGCAUUGACUGGAAGGUGAAUUCCACUUGGAUGGAUGAUAACUUGAACUGGGGAGAACGCUAAUCCUGUCAUGAAUCAUUUCCAGGACGGGGUUCAACUUCAAUAUGUCCAGCAGUGUUUAAACAACCAUUCCAUUAUUGUUUCAGUUUAAGCUGUUGAAUUCGAAAUAAGGACAUAAAAAGCUUAUAAGAAUCACCUAGGCAGCGUCCAUUUAUCACGUAA